AACGCAAAUGGCGCUCUCGGGAUAGGCCUGGGAGCACGCCUCUUUGAGUGUCGAUUCAAUCAAACUCAGCGACCUGCUGCAUUUAUUUGUGCGGGCUGCAGCUGAACAUUGAGUGUCUCACGAAAGUGUGUCACUUUAAGCGGAGCGAGUCUCCUUUUUUCUAGCACUUGCAAUAGCCCUCUGUGGCUCUGCAUAGCCUAGGAUGAGUUUUGCCCUGCAAACUCGUGCCUGCUAGUGAUGCGGAUAAUCACAUUAGUGUGUUCCAUCAUGACUGGUAGGAGCGGGAUUCUGGCAAACGGCUUUAGUGUCCGGCUCUUCUUUGUGCGAACCUGCAAGAACAAUUGUGAAAGACAGACCGUGGGCCAGCAGCAAUGCUCGGCCUUCAAUAACCUCUUUGACUUAGACCUCAAAUGAAGCGAGACAACCCGCUGAACUUAA
Molecule: unclassified non-coding RNA, 438 nt
Filed under: uncultured fungus
Lineage: Eukaryota; Fungi
Description: sequence contains ITS2
Source: RNAcentral